Molecule: transfer RNA, 75 nt
Filed under: Chloroflexota bacterium
Lineage: Bacteria; Bacillati; Chloroflexota
Also listed under: 1 other name
Description: tRNA-Arg
Rfam family: tRNA
About the family: Transfer RNA (tRNA) molecules are approximately 80 nucleotides in length. Their secondary structure includes four short double-helical elements and three loops (D, anti-codon, and T loops).
Source: RNAcentral
GGCCCCGUAGCUCAGUGGAUAGAGCAUUGGUUUCCUAAACCAUGCGCCCCGGUUCGAGUCCGGGCGGGGCUGCCA